Cyanistes caeruleus (blue tit) is the source of this 346-nucleotide non-coding RNA. The record is from RefSeq and is a predicted model, not a curated record. NCBI's taxonomy places the organism in Eukaryota, Metazoa, Chordata, Aves, Passeriformes, Paridae.
GAAGUCAUGGUUUUGUUCCAACAGGAUGAAUUUAGAACAAGUGACAACUGUAGCAAAACCUUCUGAGAUCAUAAUCCUGCUACUGAGUUCAAUUUUGUUGGGAAAUUGCUUGGACCAAGAGGAAACUCUUUAAAGAGGUUACAAGAAGAAACAGGUGCAAAAAUGUCCAUCCUGGGAAAAGGAUCCAUGAGGGAUAAAGCUAAGGAGGAAGAACUAAGGAAAAGUGGAGAAGCCAAAUAUGCGCACUUGAGUGAUGAGCUCCACGUAUUAAUUGAAGUGUUUGCUCCACCUGGGGAAGCGUAUUCUCGUAUGAGUCACGCCUUGGAAGAAAUAAAAAAAUUCCUGG